GGCUAUGAAACCUUUGCCUUCUGACUUCUGCAGUGGAAAGCCACGGUACAAUAGCAGGCGUGCCAUCUCUGCCCUCUCUAAGACCUACUGUGCUUGGGUCAAACAGCAGGAAGAGGUCACUGCAGCAGACUCCUGAGUGGACUCCCUGCCUCCAGUCUAUUCUUCACUCUGUUUCCAAAGGAACUUUCAUGAAGCACAGGGAAGACCAGGCCGAACAGCUUGUCCUGUCCAGGGUUCAUGCCCUAAGAAGGUGACUGAAGACGCUGGCU
This is a non-coding RNA of Phascolarctos cinereus (koala), 269 nucleotides long. The record is from RefSeq and is a predicted model, not a curated record. NCBI's taxonomy places the organism in Eukaryota, Metazoa, Chordata, Mammalia, Diprotodontia, Phascolarctidae.